UACGUAGGGGGCGAGCGUUGUCCGGAAUCAUUGGGCGUAAAGAGCGUGUAGGCGGCCAUACAGGUCCGUUGUGAAAACUGGAGGCUUAACCUCCAGACGUCGAUGGAAACCGUAUGGCUAGAGUCCGGAAGAGGAGAGUGGAAUUCCUGGUGUAGCGGUGAAAUGCGCAGAUAUCAGGAAGAACACCCGUGGCGAAGGCGGCUCUCUGGGACGGUACUGACGCUGAGACGCGAAAGCGUGGGGAGCGAACAGG
Molecule: ribosomal RNA, 253 nt
Filed under: uncultured bacterium
Lineage: Bacteria
Description: partial 16S ribosomal RNA
Rfam family: Bacterial small subunit ribosomal RNA
Source: RNAcentral